This 164-nucleotide ribosomal RNA is filed under the name uncultured bacterium. RNAcentral describes it as "partial 16S rRNA". It matches the Rfam family "Bacterial small subunit ribosomal RNA", at positions 355 to 511 of the family's 1533-position model. The record is from RNAcentral.
UGGGGAAUCUUCCACAAUGGACGAAAGUCUGAUGGAGCAACGCCGCGUGAGUGAAGAAGGGUUUCGGCUCGUAAAACUCUGUUGUUAAAGAAGAACAUAUCUGAGAGUAACUGUUCAGGUAUUGACGGUAUUUAACCAGAAAGCCACGGCUAACUACGUGCUAG